GAUGAACGCUGGCGGCGUGCCUAAUACAUGCAAGUCGAGCGAACAGAUAAGGAGCUUGCUCCUUUGACGUUAGCGGCGGACGGGUGAGUAAGACGUGGGUAACCUACCUAUAAGACUGGGAUAACUCCGGGAAACCGGGUCCAAUGCCGGAUAACAUUUAGAACCGCAUGAUUCUAAAGUGAAAGAGGGUUUUGCUAUCACUUAUAGAUGGAGCCGCGCCGUAUUAGCUAGUUGGUAAGGUAACGGCUUACCAAGGCAACGAUACGUAGCCGACCUGAGAGGAUGAUCGGCCACACUGGAACUGAGACACGGUCCAGACUCCUACGGGAGGCAGCAGUAGGGAAUCUUGGGCAAUGGGCGAAAGCCUGACGGAGCAACGCCGCGUGAGUGAUGAAGGUCUUCGGAUCGUAAAACUCUGUUAUUAGGGAAGAACAACUGUGUAAGUAAAUGUGCACGUCUUGACGGUACCUAAUCAGAAAGCCACGGCUAACUACGUG
This 497-nucleotide ribosomal RNA is filed under the name uncultured bacterium. Its description in RNAcentral is "partial 16S ribosomal RNA". It matches the Rfam family "Bacterial small subunit ribosomal RNA", at positions 28 to 507 of the family's 1533-position model. The record is from RNAcentral.